GAAGCAGAGCUUGCUCUGUGGAUCAGUGGCGAACGGGUGAGUAACACGUGAGCAACCUGCCCUGGACUCUGGGAUAAGCGCUGGAAACGGCGUCUAAUACUGGAUACGAGACGUGGCCGCAUGGUCAACGUUUGGAAAGAUUUUUUGGUUCAGGAUGGGCUCGCGGCCUAUCAGCUUGUUGGUGAGGUAAUGGCUCACCAAGGCGUCGACGGGUAGCCGGCCUGAGAGGGUGACCGGCCACACUGGGACUGAGACACGGCCCAGACUCCUACGGGAGGCAGCAGUGGGGAAUAUUGCACAAUGGGCGAAAGCCUGAUGCAGCAACGCCGCGUGAGGGAUGACGGCCUUCGGGUUGUAAACCUCUUUUAGCAAGGAAGAAGCGAAAGUGACGGUACUUGCAGAAAAAGCGCCGGCUAACUACGUGCCAGCAGCCGCGGUAAUACGUAGGGCGCAAGCGUUAUCCGGAAUUAUUGGGCGUAAAGAGCUCGUAGGCGGUUUGUCGCGUCUGCUGUGAAAACUGGAGGCUCAACCUCCAGCCUGCAGUGGGUACGGGCAGACUAGAGUGCGGUAGGGGAGAUUGGAAUUCCUGGUGUAGCGGUGGAAUGCGCAGAUAUCAGGAGGAACACCGAUGGCGAAGGCAGAUCUCUGGGCCGUAACUGACGCUGAGGAGCGAAAGGGUGGGGAGCAAACAGGCUUAGAUACCCUGGUAGUCCACCCCGUAAACGUUGGGAACUAGUUGUGGGGACCAUUCCACGGUUUCCGUGACGCAGCUAACGCAUUAAGUUCCCCGCCUGGGGAGUACGGCCGCAAGGCUAAAACUCAAAGGAAUUGACGGGGACCCGCACAAGCGGCGGAGCAUGCGGAUUAAUUCGAUGCAACGCGAAGAACCUUACCAAGGCUUGACAUAUACGAGAACGCUGCAGAAAUGUAGAACUCUUU
RNAcentral lists this ribosomal RNA (939 nucleotides) under Microbacterium binotii. RNAcentral describes it as "bacterial SSU rRNA". It matches the Rfam family "Bacterial small subunit ribosomal RNA", at positions 70 to 1019 of the family's 1533-position model. The record is from RNAcentral. Lineage: Bacteria; Bacillati; Actinomycetota; Actinomycetes; Micrococcales; Microbacteriaceae.